CCUACGGGAGGCAGCAGUGAGGAAUAUUGGUCAAUGGGCGGGAGCCUGAACCAGCCAAGUCGCGUGAGGGACGACGGUCCUAUGGAUUGUAAACCUCUUUUGUCGGGGAACAAAGGCGCCCACGGGUGGGCGGAUGAGUGUACCCGAAGAAAAAGCAUCGGCUAACUCCGUGCCAGCAGCCGCGGUAAUACGGAGGAUGCGAGCGUUAUCCGGAUUUAUUGGGUUUAAAGGGUGCGUAGGCGGGCAUUUAAGCCGGCGGUCAAAUGUCGGGGCUCAACCCCGGCCUGCCGUCGGAACUGGGUGCCUUGAGUGGGCGAGAAGUAUGCGGAAUGCGUGGUGUAGCGGUGAAAUGCAUAGAUAUCACGCAGAACCCCGAUUGCGAAGGCAGCAUACCGGCGCCCUACUGACGCUGAGGCACGAAAGUGCGGGUAUCGAACAGGAUUAGAUACCCCUGUAGUC
RNAcentral lists this ribosomal RNA (459 nucleotides) under uncultured bacterium. Its description in RNAcentral is "partial 16S ribosomal RNA". It matches the Rfam family "Bacterial small subunit ribosomal RNA", at positions 338 to 795 of the family's 1533-position model. The record is from RNAcentral.